CCUACGGGAGGCAGCAGUGAGGAAUAUUGGUCAAUGGGCGAGAGCCUGAACCAGCCAAGUCGCGUGAAGGAUGACGGCCCUACGGGUUGUAAACUUCUUUUGUCAGGGAGCAAUUGGGUCCACGCGUGGGCUUAGCGAGAGUACCUGAAGAAAAAGCAUCGGCUAACUCCGUGCCAGCAGCCGCGGUAAUACGGAGGAUGCGAGCGUUAUCCGGAUUUAUUGGGUUUAAAGGGUGCGUAGGCGGAAUAUCAAGUCAGCGGUAAAGAUUCGGGGCUCAACCCCGUCGUGCCGUUGAAACUGGUGUUCUUGAGUGGGCGAGAAGUAUGCGGAAUGCGUGGUGUAGCGGUGAAAUGCAUAGAUAUCACGCAGAACUCCGAUUGUGAAGGCAGCAUACCGGCGCCCAACUGACGCUGAAGCACGAAAGCGUGGGUAUCGAACAGGAUUAGAUACCCUUGUAGUC
This 460-nucleotide ribosomal RNA is filed under the name uncultured bacterium. RNAcentral describes it as "partial 16S ribosomal RNA". It matches the Rfam family "Bacterial small subunit ribosomal RNA", at positions 338 to 795 of the family's 1533-position model. The record is from RNAcentral.